CAGUUUCUAUCCUCUUUUUGAAAUGAGCUAAUUUUGUACGAAAGGACUUUUUCGCUAAAGCAAUGCUUUGUCACAAAUCUGUGGUUGCAUAAAUAAUAGUGUAUAAUAGGUUGAUUAGCCUAUAGGAAGGGCUA
This 134-nucleotide ribosomal RNA is filed under the name Mytilus edulis (blue mussel). RNAcentral's name for it is "partial 16S ribosomal RNA". Lineage: Eukaryota; Metazoa; Mollusca; Bivalvia; Mytilida; Mytilidae. The record is from RNAcentral.